UUAACUUGUAUUGCCAGAGCGCGAGCAAAUAAGCAAAAAGAUUAGAAGGGGAUCCGAAGGAUCCCCUUGCUUCAUAAUAAAAUUGUGUAGACUAAGUGGGNAAAAGAUAAANCAAGGGAUUUAAAAGAAUCCCGGGGCGCGGGAAGGGGGUGCCAAUGGCGUGGUUUUCCCCCCCCGCCCCGGGUCCCGAUUUAUAUGAAAAACCACUCUUUUUAUUAAGAUUACUGUCUACAACCGUACAAGUAAGAUAGUUUGGUUGGGGCGACCGCCUUCGAAAAAGUAUCGAAGGCGCACAUAAGAUUAGUCCGGAGGGGGGUCCGAAGGCCCUCCCGGGGGUAAUGCCCCAAAGAAAAGAUUAGUUUGACUGAGAGGGCUACAACCCGAACAGGCGCUAUUAAAAAGGGAUAAAAAGUCUUUUUGCGGGUCAUAGUGAUCCGUUGUUAUAUUGUGGGAUUGACAACGAUCAACGAAGA
This 473-nucleotide ribosomal RNA is filed under the name Placozoa sp. H11 HM-2017. RNAcentral describes it as "partial 16S ribosomal RNA". The stretch from base 64 to 473 matches the Rfam family "Bacterial large subunit ribosomal RNA", at positions 2098 to 2458 of the family's 2925-position model. The record is from RNAcentral. Lineage: Eukaryota; Metazoa; Placozoa.